CGUGUAGGCGGCUUGAUAAGUCCGGUGUGAAAUCUUGGGGCUCAACCCCAAGCCUGCAUCGGAUACUGUCUCGCUCGAGUUCGGGAGGGGAGAGCGGAAUUCCUAGUGUAGCGGUGAAAUGCGCAGAUAUUAGGAAGAACACCAGUGGCGAAGGCGGCUCUCUGGAACGAUACUGACGCUGAGACGCGAAAGCGUGGGAGCGAACA
Molecule: ribosomal RNA, 206 nt
Filed under: uncultured bacterium
Lineage: Bacteria
Description: partial 16S ribosomal RNA
Rfam family: Bacterial small subunit ribosomal RNA
Source: RNAcentral